RNAcentral lists this ribosomal RNA (253 nucleotides) under uncultured bacterium. RNAcentral describes it as "partial 16S ribosomal RNA". It matches the Rfam family "Bacterial small subunit ribosomal RNA", at positions 524 to 776 of the family's 1533-position model. The record is from RNAcentral.
UACGUAGGGUGCGAGCGUUAAUCGGAAUUACUGGGCGUAAAGCGUGCGCAGGCGGUUUUGUAAGCCAGAUGUGAAAGCCCCGGGCUUAACCUGGGAAUGGCAUUUGGGACUGCAAGGCUUGAGUGCGGUAGAGGAGACUGGAAUUCCUGGUGUAGCAGUGAAAUGCGUAGAUAUCGGGAGGAACACCAGUGGCGAAGGCGACUACCUGGCCUGUUCUUGACGCUGAGGCGCGAAAGCUAGGGGAGCAAACGGG